AUUCACUUCUGCUCAGGAGGCUGAGAUCCUUCAUGGAUGUUAAUCUCUCGCGCGUGUCGCACGUUGUCUGUUUUUUUACACAGUUAUCCUUCCCUCUGAUCCUCUCUCUUCCUCUCUCUGCCUCUCUCUCUCUCUCUCUCCCCCUCUCUCCUCCUCCCUCUCUCCCCCUGUCCCUCUCUCUCUGGCUCCCAGUGUGUGCGCGCCAUCGUGCUGCACGCGCCCGGACUUUAUUCUGGAUUAAAACAAGGUCAAGCACGCGCAGAGGAUUUAGAGUCCGGCCGUGUGGCUCUGCUGCUUUAGCAUGUGCGGCGUGGACGCGGAGCUGGAUGACGGGGUGGAGGAUGACAGGGACCAGGAGGACGAGUUCGUCCUCGCCGAGGGAGCCCGCAUGCUGCCGCCUCCCGUGGCCCACUGCGAGGGCGGCGCCUGGGGGGGCCGGAGGAGUCGCUGUGGCUGCCUGGCGUCGGGCGCCGGCCUGCUGCUGUGGAACGUGGCCCUGGCCGCGACCUGCCUGCUCCUGCUGGCGGCCGUGUUUGCCCUGGUGCUCCUGCCUGCCCUGCUCCUGCUCUACGCCGGCUUCCUCUGCCACUCGCGGGUUCUGGCCUCACCUUCCACAAUCUGCCAUUACCUUGACGACAACAGUUGUUCCGCCCUCAUCAUCCUGGGCUUUGUGAUGAUGUCACCUCUUGUGGUGGUGGCCGCAGCGACCUUCUGUGGCCUCCUCCGCCACCUACGACUCCUCUGGUUCUUCCAGCCAAUCUCAGGCGCCUGGUACCAAGGCCGGGGGUUAUGCUGGAGAGAAGAUUUGCGUGCCUGGGUCUGAUGACGUGACAGACGUGUCAAAGGUCACAGAGCUCAGGCAGAGGUUCAAUAUUGUAUUUUAACACACUCCAUAAUUAUAGCGUAGUGCCAUCCACAGACUGGUCAAGGUAACCAGGCGUAUUUCCAGCUCACCUCACCUCAACCGGCCAGUUUUCCCAUCGCUGGGUGAUUGGUGGGAGAACACAGUUCCUCCUACUUAAUUAUAUCUGAUGCAUGCCGAUGCUCAAUCGAGUCAAAUUGCAGAUGGUGCAUGCAACUUAUCAACAAAAACAGCGUCAGUGUUUGAUUCCAGACUUCAGGAUGCUGAAUAGGUAUUCCAGAAAGUUCCAGAAAGAUGUGGCAUACAGUACAGAUGCUGUGAGUUGUGAACAGUACCUUACAUUAUUCUUUUUUUGUUAUUUUUUCUUUUUGGAAGGUGCAAUAAUUGAGCAAUUUAUGUUUUUCUCCCCCUGGUUAAGUAAUUGACACUGGGCAAAUUGUUAUUAAAUAUUUUUUUAUUAUUGUGUAUUCUUAAAACAUUGUGUAUUCAAAUGUGUUUCUAAGGAGUGUGUUAAUAUUUUUGGGCCCUAUUUUGACAAUCUGAUGCAUAGCAGCGAGCAGAAAGCUCAAACAACAUUUAUGAUUGGGUCCAUAUCCCCAGUAAUUAAAAAAAGGGAACUGUUGUCCCAAGUUUCUUUAUUUUACUUUACUUAGUUUCUUAAUUAUCUUGAGGAGGGUUUCAGACAUAAGAUAUAAUGAACCGAUCAGAAUGGCACAUACAUCAUUUUAAAAAGUAGGGGUGCAAGAUUUAGGGCGAAUUGCUAUUAUGAUGCUAUUACACAAGAACAAAACAGGGUCCAUAGCCUGGCCAAAGCUAGCAGAAUUUUCUCCAUGAUGUAUAAUCAACACAAGCACCACACACCCACACAUUUCUAAAAUGUACAGCUUAAAUAUAGUUUAAUAAUGUAGCCCUGACUUAUAAUAUAAGAUUAUUUACACUGCCUCUGCCUGCCUUCACUGGCUCCAGAAAUUCACAAAACCAAUGGUAAACAGUGGGAAAGGUGGGAAAAUGUGCCUUAGAUUGUCAAAAUAGAGCCCAUUCAAUGAAUAAGUAAUGCAUAUUUAUUUAUUUAUGUAUGUCCAUAUAUAGAACUUUGUAAAACAUGGAAGUAAUUUUUGCUCAACUGUUGUGCCAGGUUUACAGUAGUAUAAAGGCCACUUGGUUUUGAACACUUCAUACCCAGUGGAUGAACUUAAAUCUUAAGUGACCGUGACACAUUUGCUUGCCUUUGAAAUAGCUGGAUGGCAGCAUUAGCUUUUGAGAUGAAGGCCACAUUACUCAGUAUAAUUGUCUGUGGUUUAUAAUGCUGUCUGUGGUGCUUUUUUCUUUAUAUUAUUUGAAAACGAUAAUAAGUGUGAAGAAGAUGUCAGGAAAUAUGUUCCGUUAUCAGAGAGCCAGUAGAGUCCCCUCCUGAUGAGCAGUUAAAGAAGUAUAAUAAUAACAACAGCGACUAGACUUUCAGUCGAUGUAAAGUGCUUCGGUACAAAAAACGUUUGUAGAAAAUGAACAGUAGAAACAGCAGGAAUGAAAAGCAUUUAACGGAAGAGUGCAAUCUUAUGUGACCUUUUUCUUGUUCUAAAUGUCACUGUUUUAGUAGACAUUCAUUGGCCUGCGAGGGGGAGAUUAGCUGUAAUUUGGUAGUUGAAAAUGUCUGUAAAUGAUUAAUUUGUUUCUUACGCCAAAUUGCUUUUAUCCCUGGGUAGGAUCCUUCAGUCACACACACCCACACACACACACACACACACACACACACACACACACGAAUGACAUGUUUAGAAUGAAUGAUUAACUUUACAGCUGUUAUUUCUGAGACCAUCGUAGCAUUUCUACGUCUUAUUUAUUAAAAUGUCACUAUUAGAGAAUAAACCACACAAUGAACGCAGACUCUGUUGUUGCUUAUACUACUAUUGAGGGCCAAUUUAAAGAACCACUUAUAAUUAAUCAAGAUGAUUGAGGUUAAAUGCAAUUCAAAAUGUCUUAUCACGAAAAACUAUAAAAUAGUCAUCACAAUGCAAUUUUGUUGGCAAAGAAAGUGGGCACUUGAUCACAACACCCCCUUCCGCCCCAGGAAAGGUUCAUGUUUCUUCCCUGCAGAACCUAUUUACUGCCUCUCAGCUGUUAGUGAAAUUGCAGAUUUCUUGCCUCUCAGUAAAUCCAUUAAAGAUAUCAGGCAAGCUUACACGCUUUCCAAUUAUGAACAGAGCUCAAAUAAGAAUGAUACAUAAAUAUCUUGUCAGGUUUUUUUUUUGUCCCGUAAUGGGGUAGGCUAAUGGAUUUCACUGAUGGAUUCCUCAAUUAUCAGAUAUGCUGAAGGAGACUGGCACAGGCUGCAUUACGCUAGUGGUUCGCCAUGCGCGUUGGAAGUGGUUCAGUGGCUGCUGUUACGCACUGCUCAUUUUGAAAGGACAUUCUGGUGACCAUUUAAGUACAGUCUGUGAUGGAGACUUGUGAUGGUCCCCUAAUGCAUUUGCUGGUGAAGUGUGCGCGACUGAGAUCGUACAGAGAACGGCGUUUGUUCCUGCAAUUUGUGCAGACAAAAUAAAUAAAUAAGUCUGACAAUACAUACAGUUCUGGAGAAAAAAAAACAGACUGAUUUAAAAAUUGCCGUUCUAUUUUUAUGACAGCCGUUUUCACCAAAUCUCACCAAAAGGAUUUAGAACCACUGUGGACUUAAUGAUCCAGUUUUUUGUAUAUUGUUUAUCAAUGGUUUAUAAUGACUUGUUUUGCAUUAUAGUAAUAUUAUUAUAUUGUUCAUCUAAUAAAAGUUUGAGC
Molecule: long non-coding RNA, 3634 nt
Organism: Denticeps clupeoides (denticle herring)
Lineage: Eukaryota; Metazoa; Chordata; Actinopteri; Clupeiformes; Denticipitidae
Source: Ensembl